RNAcentral lists this ribosomal RNA (505 nucleotides) under uncultured bacterium. Its description in RNAcentral is "partial 16S ribosomal RNA". It matches the Rfam family "Bacterial small subunit ribosomal RNA", at positions 28 to 507 of the family's 1533-position model. The record is from RNAcentral.
GACGAACGCUGGCGGCGUGCCUAAUACAUGCAAGUAGAACGCACAGUUUAUACCGUAGCUUGCUACACCAUACACUGUGAGUUGCGAACGGGUGAGUAACGCGUAGGUAACCUGCCUGGUAGCGGGGGAUAACUAUUGGAAACGAUAGCUAAUACCGCAUAAUAUUGAUUAUUGCAUGAUAAUUGAUUGAAAGAUGCUAUUGCAUCACUACCAGAUGGACCUGCGUUGUAUUAGCUAGUAGGUGAGGUAACGGCUCGCCUAGGCGACGAUACAUAGCCGACCUGAGAGGGUGAUCGGCCACACUGGGACUGAGACACGGCCCAGACUCCUACGGGAGGCAGCAGUAGGGAAUCUUCGGCAAUGGACGAAAGUCUGACCGAGCAACGCCGCGUGAGUGAAGAAGGUUUUCGGAUCGUAAAGCUCUGUUGUAAGAGAAGAACGGGUGUGAGAGUGGAAAGUUCACACUGUGACGGUAUCUUACCAGAAAGGGACGGCUAACUACGUG